RNAcentral lists this ribosomal RNA (468 nucleotides) under uncultured bacterium. RNAcentral's name for it is "partial 16S ribosomal RNA". It matches the Rfam family "Bacterial small subunit ribosomal RNA", at positions 28 to 507 of the family's 1533-position model. The record is from RNAcentral.
GACGAACGCUGGCGGCGUGCUUAACACAUGCAAGUCGAACGGAAAGGCCCUGCUUUUGUGGGGUGCUCGAGUGGCGAACGGGUGAGUAACACGUGAGUAACCUGCCCUUGACUUUGGGAUAACUUCAGGAAACUGGGGCUAAUACCGGAUAGGAGCUCCUGCUGCAUGGUGGGGGUUGGAAAGUUUCGGCGGUUGGGGAUGGACUCGCGGCUUAUCAGCUUGUUGGUGGGGUAGUGGCUUACCAAGGCUUUGACGGGUAGCCGGCCUGAGAGGGUGACCGGCCACAUUGGGACUGAGAUACGGCCCAGACUCCUACGGGAGGCAGCAGUGGGGAAUAUUGCACAAUGGGCGGAAGCCUGAUGCAGCAACGCCGCGUGCGGGAUGACGGCCUUCGGGUUGUAAACCGCUUUCGCCUGUGACGAAGCGGGAGUGACGGUAAUGGGUAAAGAAGCACCGGCUAACUACGUG